Molecule: long non-coding RNA, 1161 nt
Organism: Esox lucius (northern pike)
Lineage: Eukaryota; Metazoa; Chordata; Actinopteri; Esociformes; Esocidae
Exons: 3
Source: RefSeq, a predicted model, not a curated record
GACAAACGGGGAGUCGAUCCUUCACUACUACAGUCAAAGCUGUUGUGCUAUGUGGUGAAUUUGGUGUUUCAGCUACUUAGAGUUUUUUUGGAUAAACAAGCUGUGUGUAGCUGUCUUUAGACACCCUGUUUUUGUAUCCACCCUUAUAUUGAACUUGUCAACAUCCUAACCAGAUAGUCGACAGCAGCCUGAAAGAGAAAGCCGCUGCCCGUGUCAGAGCUAACCAGGGGGCGGAAGGUGUGAGCGUAUAGAGAACGGGCCGUAACACUAUCUACUACAAAGAUGUUGCAAAAAGUCAUGACACGACAGGCUGAUGUUUCAGAACUUGGUCAAAAAAGUCCAAAAUUCCAUAACCAUUUUCUAUGGUCAGCGGUGGAAGACAGAGAAAAAGAGGACAACGUUUGGACAGCAACACCAGAUUCUUAUUGAGAGCAGAAUAAAUGCUAGCUGGUUCUUACUAGCAAGACUAGACAAAACAAAAUAUCCUUUACCCUUCUGUGAGCAGAGUCACCACUCUGUAGGCCAGACCCUAACUGCUGCCUCAAAAACCCUUCAACCACUGAUUGAUAGCUAGGACGAACAGCACUCUAAAGUCACCCUGUUUUACCCUUCAGGGGGAUUGGUCAAUUUGCCUGCUGGCCACAGAUACUGUACUUCAGAGGAAGGAGCCCUUCUUUCACCAAUGUCCACAUAGAGCUCAGGUAGUGGGAUCUCUUAAAGGGUAUUAAAGCAGUAUGGCAUUAGGGGUGUAGUAUAUGGCCAAUAUAUAUGGAUGGAGGGGUGGAGGGAAGGAUGACGAAGAGGUUGAGGGAAGGAUGAUGUAAGGGCUCCAAUUCUGUACUGGCGCUCAGUCACAUAUCUGUGUGUUGACUGCAUAGGACAGUUUACCAGAUAAUAAACACAUCCAACGUGCUGUCAUCCACAGACGCCCCACCGGCUGUUUACCGUAACACAACUCCUUAACCAUGAUGACAUUACACACACCAAGAACCUCAACAGAUGUUUGUACUCACUUAAAACAUUGUGAUAUCAUUCCAGCAUGAAGUGGUCCAGCUUUUAAAAAAGUAGAAAUGCUGAUCUGUUCUGAUUACUACAUUUGAUCAUCUGUGUAUAACAGCGGCAAAUAGGAGUCUCACAUUACAGAAGGCACUAAGAUGCAGA